This 23-nucleotide non-coding RNA is filed under the name Cricetulus griseus (Chinese hamster). Lineage: Eukaryota; Metazoa; Chordata; Mammalia; Rodentia; Cricetidae. The record is from RNAcentral.
AAGCUGGAGGACGCUUAGCAAUG